GAUGAACGCUGGCGGCGGGCCUAAUACAUGCAAGUCGAGCGAACAGACGAGGAGCUUGCUCCUCUGACGGUAGCGGCGGACGGGUGAGGAACACGGGGAUAACCUAGCUAUAAGACUGGGAUAACUUCGGGAAACCGGAGCUAAGACCGGAUAAUAUAUUGAACCGCAUGGGUCAAUAGUGAAAGACGGUUUUGCGGUCACUUAUAGAUGGAUCCGCCCCGAAUUAGCUAGUUGGUAAGGUAACGGCUUAGCAAGGCAACGAUGCGGACCCGACCCCAGAGCGUCGUCGGCCACCCUGGAACAGAGACACGGUACCGACUCCUACAGGGAGCAGCAGUAGAGAAUCUUCCGCGAUGCGGGAAUGCCUGACGGUGCAAAGCCGCGUGAGUGCUGAAGGUCUUAGGCUCGUAAAACUCUGUAAUUAGGGGAGUAGAAAUGUGUUAGCAACUAUGAACGUCUUGACGGUACCUGCACAGGAAGCCACGGCUAACUCCGUG
Molecule: ribosomal RNA, 497 nt
Filed under: uncultured bacterium
Lineage: Bacteria
Description: partial 16S ribosomal RNA
Rfam family: Bacterial small subunit ribosomal RNA
Source: RNAcentral